This 253-nucleotide long non-coding RNA is filed under the name Microcebus murinus (gray mouse lemur). Its description in RNAcentral is "lncRNA (ENSMICG00000048278.1)". Lineage: Eukaryota; Metazoa; Chordata; Mammalia; Primates; Cheirogaleidae. The record is from RNAcentral.
CGAAACCUUUCGGGAUUUAUAGAUGGGGGGACUUGGAGAAUUCUGGAGUUUGUAGCAGACCAAGUGUCUGGGUUGGAGUUUGCAAUCCCAAGGAAGUGUCCAUCCCCAGGGAAAUUUCCAUCACUACAAAGGAAUCAAGGAAGCAGUCAGUCCCUGGUAAGUAAGAUGCUCUCCCUACACACCAACACACAGUCAGGCACCUUAUAACAGAGUGCAACACAUCUCUACUAGCUCUUCCUGGGUACCAUGGACA